Molecule: ribosomal RNA, 406 nt
Filed under: uncultured bacterium
Lineage: Bacteria
Description: partial 16S ribosomal RNA
Rfam family: Bacterial small subunit ribosomal RNA
Source: RNAcentral
AUUGAACGCUGGCGGCAGGCCUAACACAUGCAAGUCGAACGAGUGGCGGACGGGUGAGUAAUGUCGGGGAAACUGCCUGAUGGAGGGGGUUAACUACUGGAAACGGUAGCUAAUCCCGCAUACCAUCGGAUGUGCCCAGAUGGGAUUAGCUAGUAGGUGGGGUAAAGGCUCACCUAGGCGACGAUCCCUAGCUGGUCUGAGAGGAUGACCGGCCACACUGGAACUGAGACACGGUCCAGACUCCUACGGGAGGCAGCAGUAGGGAAUAUUGCGCAAUGGGCGAAAGCCUGAUGCAGCCAUGCCGCGUGUAUGAAGAAGGCCUUCGGGUUGUAAAGCACUUUCAGCGGGGAGGCGUUACCCACAGAAGAAGCACCGGCUAACUCCGUGCCAGCAGCCGCGGUAAUUC